Non-coding RNA from Biomphalaria pfeifferi, 1732 nucleotides. The record is from the annotation of a GenBank genome assembly. NCBI's taxonomy places the organism in Eukaryota, Metazoa, Mollusca, Gastropoda, Planorbidae.
AUGGAGAAAAUAAUAUGCUAUUCUUAUCAGCUUUUCUAUACUGAUGUACAGCCUGUUAGUUAUACAGUGUUGUUUAGAUAAUAGGGUCUCGCUAUGGUGGAUUAAGUUGGGACAUUUUAAAUAGAAAUAUCUGGAACUUUGGGUGUGUGGAAUUUAUUUUAUUUAGAUGGAAAUUCAAAGCUGUGUGACAUAUUAUAAGUAUGCUUUUAAUAAACUCAAAUCUACAUGUGGCUUGCAACUAAAGAUCUAGAUCAGUAUAACAAGCUACAUUGGGUUGAAUGUACUUACACGGCUGUCAGUUUUUAUGUAUUCAACUGUUAUUUUUUUUCUAUAGACAUAUUUUUUUGCUUAACUUUAUAUAAUACUAAUCAUAUUUAUGUAACUUGUAUUGCAAGCAAGUCAACAAAGGAUGAGAAUAUGUAUUCAUAGUGAAAAUAGGGCAAAUAAACAAAUACAUACACAAAAUUAUUACUAUUUAAUCUGCAGUUCAUUAUUUCUUCUUGUCUUGGACUCAUGCUCCUCCACAAUUACUACACUAACUGCAAUGCAACUUCUCAGUGUUGCCUCAAGUCAGUAGUGCCUGAAGAAUGAUUUUCACAUACAUCUAGAUAUUCUGCCGCACCGCAGUUCCACAAACAAGUCUCCCUAUCCCUAGGAAUUUCCCUAAAAUGUCUGCUUUCCUCAGUUCCUACACUACAAAAGUCCUCAGUGGUGACUACCUCAUUACAUUAAAGCAUGAAAGGUGCCUUAUAAGUAUGUGCUUCAGUUUUGCAGAAUUUACAUUUCAUAAAAUAUGUCUCACCCAUUGUGAAUUUUUUGCCAGUGUGCACAGUAAAUAUUGGUGCUAGAGCAGGUAACAAGGUUAUAUGACUUCUGCUUAAUCUCUCCACUGAAUAGUUAGUUCAUUGAGUUCUUUAAUUUACUACAAUGCUUAAAGCAUACUCCUGUUUCUAUACUGUUGAAUAGUAUUGUACAAGACAGCAAUUACUUCACACUAGUAACACAUCCUUUGGAGUUUGAAAUGUGAUUGCAUUAGUGAAGUUCCACUGAAUAUAUUUUAACAAAUUUAGUAAUGUUGAAUGUCAUGAAAUAUUUUUGUUUUAAAGUUUGUACUAUACAAUAAUAACUUAUCGUAUAGUGAAAAAUUACAUCUGUUUUACAAAGCAUAGCUGAAUUGUGACACACAUUUACAUUAUUACGGUACUAAGAGUUGGGUUUAGAUUUUGGCUGGGAUUAGAAGGAUAUCAAAGUGAAAUUGUUCCUGUGUAUGUGAUUUAGAAGUUUUGUUCUGUUUAUUGAUUAAAAAAAAACAUCUUUGAAUGAUAUUAUAGAUGCACUCUUUGCUGUGAAUAACAUUGUAAGAGUGAUUUAUAAGAGUGUAGUUUGGUUUGCAGAUUUUAUCUCAGUAAGUAUAACUUUCUAGUGAACAUUUUUCUCUUGAUCUACAUGCAAGAUGUGCCAAACUCAUGGCUAACUUUGAAAUACCCGGUUAAGUCGACAGCCUCAACAUUGUCUUCUUAAAAUCCCAGUUUUACUUGGUCAUUGAUUCUUGAAAGUUUAAACCUAGUUAGUGUUUGCAUAGAAAAUAUGAGCAAAUAAUUGUCAUUCAACUACUGAGUCAUGAUUUAUACACAUAAUUUUACUUAUACCAAGGUGUUAUUAUUUAUUAACAUGAAGUUUUGUUAAAGUUUGAUGUCAUGUUGCUGAAAUAAAUUUGAUUGUAAUAACAAAA